Long non-coding RNA from Anguilla anguilla (European eel), 362 nucleotides. RefSeq lists it as uncharacterized. The transcript has 3 exons. The record is from RefSeq and is a predicted model, not a curated record. NCBI's taxonomy places the organism in Eukaryota, Metazoa, Chordata, Actinopteri, Anguilliformes, Anguillidae.
UUCCCUCUCCCUCUCUCCUUCACAGAGACUGGCUCCGGCGAACGGAUUCCAUUUUUCCGCUGGGUCCUACCGGCCAGAUUGUUAAUUUUCAGACGCUCUCAAGUUCACAAGAGGUCACCUUUAUUUCCACGAGGGACGGUGCAGGAAUGAAGGGUAGCAGACCCCUUUAUCAGACCUCCCAAGUUGCAACAUAGAAUGCUUCUUCGCUACUGGAAAAGCAAAAUGACUGCAGUGACAGGGUAGCGGGUGUCCUGCUGUGACAGCCCUUACUGCUCAUUCCAGCCCUGGUGAUGGGGCACGCACUGUCUCUGCCUUACAUUCAUUCUGAUCCAAUCAAACAGUUUGAGCUUUAACUAAAUAAU